Molecule: ribosomal RNA, 450 nt
Filed under: uncultured bacterium
Lineage: Bacteria
Description: partial 16S ribosomal RNA
Rfam family: Bacterial small subunit ribosomal RNA
Source: RNAcentral
CUUCCAGACUCCUACGGGAGGCAGCAGUGGGGGAUAUUGCACAAUGGGGGGAACCCUGAUGCAGCGACGCCGCGUGGGUGAAGGAGCACCUCGGUGCGUAAAGCCCUAUCGGCAGGGAAGAAACAGACGGUACCUGACUAAGAAGCCCCGACUAACUACGUGCCAGCAGCCGCGGUAAUACGUAGGGGGCAAGCGUUAUCCGGAUUCACUGGGUGUAAAGGGAGCGUAGACGGCGACGCAAGUCUGGAGUGAAAGCCCGGGGCCCAACCCCGGGACUGCUCUGGAAACUGCGGCGCUGGAGUACGGGAGGGGCAGGCGGAAUUCCUGGUGUAGCGGUGAAAUGCGUAGAUAUCAGGAGGAACACCGGCGGCGAAGGCGGCCUGCUGGACCGCGACUGACGUUGAGGCUCGAGAGCGUGGGGAGCAAACAGGAUUAGAUACCCUGGUAUCC